GAUGAACGCUAGCGGCAGGCUUAAUACAUGCAAGUCGAGGGGCAGCACGGUUAGCAAUAACUGGUGGCGACCGGCGCACGGGUGCGUAACACGUAUACAAUCUACCUUAAACAGGGGGAUAGCCUUUCGAAAGAGAGAUUAGUACCCGUAAUAAAUUGAACGGCAUCGUUUGAUUUUGAAAGCUCCGGCGGUUUGAGAUGAGUAUGCGUCUGAUUAGCUAGUUGGUGAGGUAACGGCUCACCAAGGCGACGAUCAGUAGGGGAUCUGAGAGGACUAACCCCCACACUGGUACUGAGACACGGACCAGACUCCUACGGGAGGCAGCAGUAAGGAAUAUUGGUCAAUGGAGGCAACUCUGAACCAGCCAUGCCGCGUGCAGGAUGACGGCCCUAUGGGUUGUAAACUGCUUUUAUACAAGAGAAAACCCUGGUACGUGUACCAGGUUGAUAGUAUUGUAAGAAUAAGCAUCGGCUAACUUCGUGCCAGCAGCCGCGGU
RNAcentral lists this ribosomal RNA (496 nucleotides) under uncultured bacterium. RNAcentral's name for it is "bacterial SSU rRNA". It matches the Rfam family "Bacterial small subunit ribosomal RNA", at positions 28 to 521 of the family's 1533-position model. The record is from RNAcentral.